This 492-nucleotide ribosomal RNA is filed under the name uncultured bacterium. Its description in RNAcentral is "partial 16S ribosomal RNA". It matches the Rfam family "Bacterial small subunit ribosomal RNA", at positions 29 to 507 of the family's 1533-position model. The record is from RNAcentral.
AGUGAACGCUGGCGGUAGGCCUAACACAUGCAAGUCGAACGGCAGCACAGUAAGAGCUUGCUCUUACGGGUGGCGAGUGGCGGACGGGUGAGGAAUACAUCGGAAUCUACUUUUUCGUGGGGGAUAACGUAGGGAAACUUACGCUAAUACCGCAUACGACCUACGGGUGAAAGCAGGGGAUCUUCGGACCUUGCGCGAUUGAAUGAGCCGAUGUCGGAUUAGCUAGUUGGCGGGGUAAAGGCCCACCAAGGCGACGAUCCGUAGCUGGUCUGAGAGGAUGAACAGACAGACUGGAACUGAGACACGGUCCAGACUCCUACGGGAGGCAGCAGCGGGGAAUAUUGGACAAUGGGCGAAAGCCGGAUCCAGGCAUACCGCGUGGGUGAAGAAGGCCUUCGGGUUGUAAAGCCCUUUUGUUGGGAAAGAAAAGCAGCAGGUUAAUACCCCGCUGUUCUGACGGUACCCAAAGAAUAAGCACCGGCUAACUUCGUG